UACGUAGGGUGCGAGCGUUAAUCGGAAUUACUGGGCGUAAAGCGUGCGCAGGCGGUUUUGUAAGCCAGAUGUGAAAUCCCCGGGCUUAACCUGGGAAUGGCAUUUGGGACUGCAAGGCUUGAGUGCGGCAGAGGAGACUGGAAUUCCUGGUGUAGCAGUGAAAUGCGUAGAUAUCGGGAGGAACACCGGUGGCGAAGGCGGGUCUCUGGGCCGUGACUGACGCUGAGGAGCGAAAGCGUGGGGAGCGAACAGG
Molecule: ribosomal RNA, 253 nt
Filed under: uncultured bacterium
Lineage: Bacteria
Description: partial 16S ribosomal RNA
Rfam family: Bacterial small subunit ribosomal RNA
Source: RNAcentral